This 439-nucleotide ribosomal RNA is filed under the name uncultured bacterium. RNAcentral's name for it is "partial 16S ribosomal RNA". It matches the Rfam family "Bacterial small subunit ribosomal RNA", at positions 339 to 795 of the family's 1533-position model. The record is from RNAcentral.
CUACGGGUUGCUCCAGUGGGGAAUAUUGCACAAUGGAGGAGACUCUGAUGCAGCAACGCCGCGUGGAGGAUGACACUUUUCGGAGCGUAAACUCCUUUUAUAUAGGAAGAAGAUGACGGUACUAUAUGAAUAAGCGCCGGCUAACUCCGUGCCAGCAGCCGCGGUAAUACGGAGGGCGCAAGCGUUACUCGGAAUCACUGGGCGUAAAGAGCGUGUAGGCGGAUUAAAAAGUCAGAAGUGAAAUCCUAUAGCUUAACUAUAGAACUGCUUCUGAAACUCUUAAUCUAGAAUAUGGGAGAGGUAGAUGGAAUUUCUGGUGUAGGGGUAACAUCCGUAGAGAUCAGAAGGAAUACCGAUUGCGAAGGCGAUCUACUAGAACAUUAUUGACGCUGAGACGCGAAAGCGUGGGGAGCAAACAGGAUUAGAUACCCCAGUAGUC